This 274-nucleotide ribosomal RNA is filed under the name uncultured bacterium. RNAcentral's name for it is "partial 16S ribosomal RNA". It matches the Rfam family "Bacterial small subunit ribosomal RNA", at positions 523 to 796 of the family's 1533-position model. The record is from RNAcentral.
AUACGGAGGGAGCUAGCGUUGUUCGGAUUUACUGGGCGUAAAGCGCGCGUAGGCGGAUUGGCAAGUUGGGGGUGAAAUCCCGGGGCUUAACCCCGGAACUGCCCUCAAAACUGCUGAUCUAGAGACCGGGAGAGGUAAGCGGAAUUCCUAGUGUAGAGGUGAAAUUCGUAGAUAUUAGGAAGAACACCAGUGGCGAAGGCGGCUUACUGGACCGGUACUGACGCUAAGGUGCGAAAGCGUGGGGAGCAAACAGGAUUAGAAACCCGGGUAGUCC